CUUCACCGAUCCCAGCCACAGCGGCCUGUUACCGGCCCGCUGCCCGUACGUGGCGAGCAACGCCUGCGCCUC
Streptomyces avermitilis MA-4680 = NBRC 14893 is the source of this 72-nucleotide non-coding RNA. It matches the Rfam family "ASpks TB sRNA". NCBI's taxonomy places the organism in Bacteria, Bacillati, Actinomycetota, Actinomycetes, Kitasatosporales, Streptomycetaceae. The record is from Rfam.